UUCCUACGGGAGGCAGCAGUGAGGAAUAUUGGUCAAUGGGGGCAGGCCUGAACCAGCCAAGUCGCGUGAGGGAAGACUGCCCUAUGGGUUGUAAACCUCUUUUAUAAGGGAAGAAUAAUGACUACGUGUAGUCAGAUGCCCGUACGUUACCAAUCCCCAUCGGCUAACUCCGUGCCAGCAGCCGCGGUAAUACGGAGGAUGCGAGCGUUAUCCGGAUUUAUUGGGUUUAAAGGGUGCGUAGGCGGUAUUUUAAGUUAGUGGUAAAACGUCGGGGCUUCACCUUGAUUGGCCAUUAAAACUGGAGU
This 305-nucleotide ribosomal RNA is filed under the name uncultured bacterium. Its description in RNAcentral is "bacterial SSU rRNA". It matches the Rfam family "Bacterial small subunit ribosomal RNA", at positions 336 to 639 of the family's 1533-position model. The record is from RNAcentral.